Molecule: ribosomal RNA, 497 nt
Filed under: uncultured bacterium
Lineage: Bacteria
Description: partial 16S ribosomal RNA
Rfam family: Bacterial small subunit ribosomal RNA
Source: RNAcentral
GAUGAACGCUGGCGGCGUGCCUAAUACAUGCAAGUCGAGCGAACAGAUGAGGAGCUUGCUCCUCUGACGUUAGCGGCGGACGGGUGAGUAACACGUGGAUAACCUACCUAUAAGACUGGGAUAACUUCGGGAAACCGGAUCUAAUACCGGAUAAUAUAUUGAACCGCAUGGUUCAAUAGUGAAAGACGGUUUUGCUGUCACUUAUAGAUGGAUCCGCGCCGCAUUAGCUAGUUGGUAAGGUAACGGCUUACCAAGGCAACGAUGCGUAGCCGACCUGAGAGGAUGAUCGGCCACACUGGAACUGAGACACGGUCCAGACUCCUACGGGAGGCAGCAGUAGGGAAUAUUCCGCAAUGGGCGAAAGCCUGACGGAGCAACGCCGCGUGAGUGAUGAAGGUCUUCGGAUCGUAAAACUCUGUUAUUAGGGAAGAACAAAUGUGUAAGUAACUAUGCACGUCUUGACGGUACCUAAUCAGAAAGCCACGGCUAACUACGUG